This 209-nucleotide unclassified non-coding RNA is filed under the name Hevea brasiliensis (rubber tree). Lineage: Eukaryota; Viridiplantae; Streptophyta; Magnoliopsida; Malpighiales; Euphorbiaceae. The record is from RNAcentral.
AUUGAAGCUGUCUUCUGGGGUUUAGAAACAAAGGGAGUUCGUUCAAUCCAUUCUCCUAUUGAAUCAGCUAUGUCCAGCACUGCCGGUCUUGUUAUUCCUUGCAAAGCUGCAGUGGCAUGGGAGGCAGGGAAGCCAUUGGUGAUUGAGCAAGUGGAGGUAGCCCCUCCGCAGGCCUUGGAAGUGAGGAUCAAAAUCAAAUAUACCUCGCU